RNAcentral lists this long non-coding RNA (125 nucleotides) under Cairina moschata (Muscovy duck). RNAcentral describes it as "domestica (muscovy Duck (domestic type)) lncRNA (ENSCMMG00000015541.1)". The record is from RNAcentral. Lineage: Eukaryota; Metazoa; Chordata; Aves; Anseriformes; Anatidae.
UUCAUGAGUUCUUUAAAGAGGAGACAGAUUGCUAGCAUUUUGGGCUGAAAUCUGGAGGUUAUUUGGGAAUGUGAAAGCUCCUUGCUGCUUGGGUCCAUGACAAACACGCAGAUGCGAUUCAUGCA